RNAcentral lists this ribosomal RNA (403 nucleotides) under uncultured bacterium. Its description in RNAcentral is "partial 16S ribosomal RNA". It matches the Rfam family "Bacterial small subunit ribosomal RNA", at positions 29 to 526 of the family's 1533-position model. The record is from RNAcentral.
AUUGAACGCUGGCGGCAGGCCUAACACAUGCAAGUCGAGCGAGCGGCGGACGGGUGAGUAAUGUAUGGGGACUGCCCGAUAGAGGGGGCUGACUGCUGGAAACGGUGGCUAAUACCGCCUACUACCCGUUCACCCACAUGGUAUGAGCUAGUAGGUGGGGUAAAGGCGCACCUAGGCGACGAUCCCUAGCUGGGCUGAGAGGCUGAUCAGCCACACUGGGACUGAGACACGGCCCAGACGCCUACGGAGGCAGCAGUGGGGAAUAUUGAGCAAUGGGCGCAAGCCUGAUGCAGCCAUGCCGCGUGUAUGAAGAAGGCCUUAGGGUUGUAAAGUACUUUCAGCGGGGAAGCGUUACCGACAGAGAAAGCACCGGCUAACUCCGUGCCAGCAGCCGCGGUAAUUC